GGCGAACGCUGGCGGCGUGCUUAACACAUGCAAGUCGAACGGAAAGGCCCUGCUUUUGUGGGGUGCUCGAGUGGCGAACGGGUGAGUAACACGUGAGUAACCUGCCCUUGACUUUGGGAUAACUUCAGGAAACUGGGGCUAAUACCGGAUAGGAGCUCCUGCUGCAUGGUGGGGGUUGGAAAGUUUCGGCGGUUGGGGAUGGACUGGCGGCUUAUCAGCUUGUUGGUGGGGUAGUGGCUUACCAAGGCUUUGACGGGUAGCCGGCCUGAGAGGGUGACCGGCCACAUUGGGACUGAGAUACGGCCCAGACGCCUACGGGAGGCAGCAGUGGGGAAUAUUGCACAAUGGGCGGAAGCCUGAUGCAGCAACGCCGCGUGCGGGAUGACGGCCUUCGGGUUGUAAACCGCUUUCGCCUGUGACGAAGCGUGAGUGACGGUAAUGGGUAAAGAAGCACCGGCUAACUACGUG
RNAcentral lists this ribosomal RNA (468 nucleotides) under uncultured bacterium. Its description in RNAcentral is "partial 16S ribosomal RNA". It matches the Rfam family "Bacterial small subunit ribosomal RNA", at positions 28 to 507 of the family's 1533-position model. The record is from RNAcentral.